RNAcentral lists this long non-coding RNA (2960 nucleotides) under Sorghum bicolor (sorghum). Its description in RNAcentral is "long non-coding RNA (SBIC_LNC003127)". Lineage: Eukaryota; Viridiplantae; Streptophyta; Magnoliopsida; Poales; Poaceae. The record is from RNAcentral.
UAUGGAAAAUUACCGCACACAUUAAUUCUCUUUGUAAACCCGACGUGUGGGCCUUUCCUUCGUAUUUCCUGAUACCCCUCUGCAGAAAUAGACAAACACCAAAACUCGUGGAAUUCUAUCAGAUAAAACCCUAAGUCUGGGUGUUGGUUGCAUUUGGAUCCUUUUCUUUAUUCAUUUGAUGAUUAUAUUUGGUACUUAAGGACCAUCAACAAACUCCCCCAAGCUUACCUCUUGCUCGUCCCUAAGCAAGGAUAGACUCAAAAGUUUCUGCAGUGGUUUCAUGCCUGAAAAGUGCACAUGCGUUCAAGCAAGAUCUCAUCUCUGAGUUAGAGUAAACUGUUAAUACUUAAAAUUUACUCAUUUUACCUUUCACCAUGGGGCUUGCAACCAUCACUUAUGUCUUGAGCAGUUAAAAGAUAGAACAGUCUAGUCAAGCGCCAUGUCUCUUGUUCUUCGAUUAACUAUAGUUCUGGAGUUUUUGCAGAUUUUUAAAUAAAACUCAGAGAUUCCUUGCAUGACUCUCUCUAGUCUCUCUUUUGUGGUAUUUUUGGAUCCUUACCAAGGCAGUAAUGGUGUAUGCCUUCUCUCAAAGUAUGUGGUAUUUUUGAUAUGAGGCAUAGUGGUAUUGUCUUCUCUCUCACCCUACUCUAUUAAGGUUUGAUAUCUAGAGCUCAUAGGUGGGAGACAGCUAAUACAUACUUACAAGACACUUAUUGCAUAGUCAAACCAUGGAUCCAGAAGAACAAGUCAAUAAGUCAAAUUAAGAUGUGCAUGUGUGGCGAAUGAAUGGUGAUAAUGAUGAAAAUAAUGAUGAAAGUCUAAUUCUACUUUUGCCCUUUUGAGUGGUACAUACCUUUCUUGCACUUGAGGCUUUUGAGGGGAAUGAGACGCUCUAUUUUUUUUCUUUUCUCUCAGGUGGGUAUCUUGUACCCCUAAUUCUAUUGUCGGACACUUGUCCAUUUUUACCUCUUGUCUCACUUUUUCUCUUUUUUUUCGAGGUUUCAGGCACUUGCCCCUUUUUAUUUCCUCGUAUUCACUUUUUUUUCAGAGCACUCACCCUCCUGGAAUAAUGUAGCAAGUGGUAGUAACCAAAAUAUCUCGAGCAUUUAUUUCACGGGGAAUAACAGAGAUAGGAUAAUAUUUUUGGCUAUUCUCUCCUAGAUAGGAGUAGAAUAAUUUUGGGUGAAUCUAGAUAUGGAAAUGAGUGGAUGUAUGUGGAUGCGUACUUCUGGAGUAGAAGCAGCAUGUAUGAGUGAACGUGCACGUGAAUCUUGAUUUUAACUGCAUGACAAGCUCCUAAGGGUCUACACAGCUUGACCACACUCAAUGCUCAUAAGCAGUAAAAAGUAAAUGUAUGGUUCAUAGUCUACUAAGCUUGUAUAUAUGGCUGUGGUAGGAUUUUAAACUCUCAUCAUACAGGAACUCAUCAUGCAACAUUUUAAAGAUUUUCAAAGAUAAAAUUCUCCAGAAUUCUAGCAUCUCUAGGAACAGAUAAAUAGCAGCUCAACCUUCUCAUAUCAUAUCUGUUAACGACUUAGACUUUUGAUCAGGUACUCUUCCCUCAAAUUCAGGUUUAGAGCAAACAUUAAAUUAUAACAGUUAUGCCUAAACUUGAGAGAGAGCUCAAAUUUGAAAACUAGGUACUUGGCAGAGCAACUAUUCAUCAUAUCCAUGUAAGAGUUUAUCAUUGAAGUUCAGUUUGGCAUAGACACUUUAUUUCUUUAUUUAUUUAUUUAGCAAACUAAGCAAAGAUAUAUAUAAGCACAAAAUGUUUAAUUGGGAUUUUAUGAUUAUGCAUUUUUUUAUUAUUUGAGUAAAGUAUAAAUGUGAGUAGAAACACUUAGCUGGAUAAAUGGGGGUGCUCUCCCCCAAGCAGGAUUUUAACGUAAUUUCUUCUGAUGUAGCUAGCAGGUGGCGUAGGUGUAUUUGAAUGUUGGCAGCACCUUGAUAGCGAUUAGGAUAUCCUCUGUCUGCUAGUCUUCGUUGAUCCUUAAAUUCUGUGGAGCUCAAAUAGACAACAAAACUUUGUGGAACUGGUUAAGUGUUAGCAUAGAAUCUCUUAGCCUUUACCAUGUUGAGCUUCCUCUAAUAAAUAUUACUCUCUUUAGUAGGAUCAUAAAUUUAUUUUUAUAUUUUCAUUUUUACAGGACAAGAAUAUAUUUAUUUUAUUUUACGCCACCACAGUGAAUGGGUUUUAUGCCACGAGCAUACUCACAUGGGGCUUAUUGUUUUUAACAUUUUUAUUUUCUUUUCAAGAUAGCAUGAUUAACUAACAAGCUAUUUAAGGAAAGUAAAUAAUUUAAGAAAAAAGGGAAUGCAGAAAGGAUAAAUAUGGAUAAUUACCGAUUUUACCUUUCGGCGAGAGUUCAAUGUUUUAAGUCUUCUCAACAAGACUUCUCACCGUGUUCAUUCUUUAGGUGCGUCAUUUGAGUUAGGUGUGGACCUUGACAUCUGCACCUCUUGAUACGGUGUCACCCAUGUUUUUCGUUUGCCUAGCAGUUCGAAGUGCGGCGUUGGCAGCAUCCUCCUCAGUGUGUUUGUGCUCGUGGAUCCAGGUCCUUCACUUGGUAGAGUCUGGGAGUUGGAAAACUCCUCCAUGUUUUGCUCGAAGUGUAUCCUGCUCAUAGAGACAAGGCAGAGAUCAAGUGCAUGGGCCCUAUUGGUGGAAAACACCAACAGAACCAAAAGUGUAUUUGUUCCUCUCUAACCUUAAGCAUAGUGAGCAAGACAAAGUUGAUGGAUGAUAAGAUCAUAAGUGUAGCAUUUAAAACAUUUGUCAUAUCAGAUCACUCAACCUUAUGGAAAGAUAAUCUAUCUAAGUAAAUGUUUUUUCUUUACAUGACUAUCAUUUUCCAAAGAUCGGAUGUGCAACAUUUUAGCUCAUAUGGUUAAGAGUGUGGGAUCAAGAAGGUAGUACCGGAAACAAAGAUUAAAGGACUAAACAUGUUGAAUCAAUUGGG